This 375-nucleotide ribosomal RNA is filed under the name uncultured bacterium. RNAcentral describes it as "bacterial SSU rRNA". It matches the Rfam family "Bacterial small subunit ribosomal RNA", at positions 521 to 896 of the family's 1533-position model. The record is from RNAcentral.
UAAUACGAAGGGGGCUAGCGUUGUUCGGAAUUACUGGGCGUAAAGGGCGCGUAGGCGGCCUAAUAAGUCAGAUGUGAAAGCCCCGAGCUUAACUUGGGAACUGCAUUUGAUACUGUUAGGCUAGAGAGUGAGAGAGGAAAGUGGAAUUGCGAGUGUAGAGGUGAAAUUCGUAGAUAUUCGCAAGAACACCAGUGGCGAAGGCGGCUUUCUGGCUCACAACUGACGCUAAGGCGCGAAAGCGUGGGGAGCAAACAGGAUUAGAUACCCUGGUAGUCCACGCUGUAAACGAUGAGUGCUAGAUGUUGGAGGAUAAAUUCUUCAGUGUCGACGCUAACGCAGUAAGCACUCCGCCUGGGGAGUACGGUCGCAAGAUUA